RNAcentral lists this transfer RNA (85 nucleotides) under Tsukamurella sp. TY48. RNAcentral describes it as "tRNA-Thr". Lineage: Bacteria; Bacillati; Actinomycetota; Actinomycetes; Mycobacteriales; Tsukamurellaceae. The record is from RNAcentral.
UGCGCUGGUAGAUGAGGUGCAGGUCAACUGGGUCGUGGAUAGUUCGGGACGAAGAGGUCGUGGGUUCGAAUCCCGCCACCCCGAC